RNAcentral lists this ribosomal RNA (390 nucleotides) under uncultured bacterium. RNAcentral describes it as "bacterial SSU rRNA". It matches the Rfam family "Bacterial small subunit ribosomal RNA", at positions 30 to 424 of the family's 1533-position model. The record is from RNAcentral.
AUUGAACGCUGGCGGCAUGCCUUACACAUGCAAGCCGAACGGUAGCGGGCCUUCGGGUGCCGACGAGUGGCGAACGGGUGAGUAAUGCAUCGGAACGUGCCAUUGAGUGGGGGAUAACGUAGCGAAAGUUACGCUAAUACCGCAUAUUCUGUGAGCAGGAAAGCAGGGGACCGCAAGGCCUUGCGCUCUUUGAGCGGCCGAUGUCAGAUUAGCUAGUUGGUGAGGUAAAGGCUUACCAAGGCGUCGAUCUGUAGCGGGUCUGAGAGGAUGAUCCGCCACACUGGAACUGAGACACGGUCCAGACUCCUACGGGAGGCAGCAGUGGGGAAUUUUGGACAAUGGGGGCAACCCUGAUCCAGCCAUGCCGCGUGAGUGAAGAAGGCCUCGGUU